This 406-nucleotide ribosomal RNA is filed under the name uncultured bacterium SY2-33. RNAcentral describes it as "bacterial SSU rRNA". It matches the Rfam family "Bacterial small subunit ribosomal RNA", at positions 8 to 417 of the family's 1533-position model. Lineage: Bacteria; Bacillati; Actinomycetota; Actinomycetes; Pseudonocardiales; Pseudonocardiaceae. The record is from RNAcentral.
AGAGUUUGAUCAUGGCUCAGGACGAACGCUGGCGGCGUGCUUAACACAUGCAAGUCGAGCGAUGAAGCACCUUCGGGUGUGAAUUAGCGGCGAACGGGUGAGGAACACGUGAAGAAUCUGCCUUCAACUCUGGGAUAACUCCGGGAAACCGSGGCUAAUACCGGAUAUGAGCCUUGAUCGCAUGAUCGGGGCUGGAAAGUUUUUCGGUUGAAGAUGACUUCGCGGCCUAUCAGCUUGUUGGUGAGGUAAUGGCUCACCAAGGCGACGACGGGUAGCCGGCCUGAGAGGGCGACCGGCCACACUGGGACUGAGACACGGCCCAGACUCCUACGGGAGGCAGCAGUGGGGAAUAUUGGGCAAUGGAGGAAACUCUGACCCAGCGACGCCGCGUGAGGGAUGAAGGCCU